This 753-nucleotide ribosomal RNA is filed under the name uncultured bacterium. Its description in RNAcentral is "bacterial SSU rRNA". It matches the Rfam family "Bacterial small subunit ribosomal RNA", at positions 8 to 796 of the family's 1533-position model. The record is from RNAcentral.
AGAGUUUGAUCCUGGCUCAGGAUGAACGCUGGCGGCGUGCCUAAUACAUGCAAGUCGAGCGGAAAGGCCCCUUCGGGGGUACUCGAGCGGCGGACGGCUGAGUAACGCGUAGGAACGUACCCCGAAGUGAGGAAUAACUGCCCGAAAGGGUGGCUAAUGCCGCAUGUGAUCUACGGAUUAAAGCUUUUAGCGCUUUGGGAACGGCCUGCGUAUGAUUAGCUAGUUGGUAAGGUAAUGGCUUACCAAGGCGAUGAUCAUUAGCUGGUCUGAGAGGAUGAUCAGCCAGACUGGGACUGAGAACGGCCCAGACUCCUACGGGAGGCAGCAGUAGGGAAUUUUCCACAAUGGGGGCAACCCUGAUGGAGCAACGCCGCGUGCAGGAUGAAUGCCUUCGGGUUGUAAACUGCUUUUAUUAGUGACGAUUAUGACGGUAACUAAUGAAUAAGGACCUGCUAACUACGUGCCAGCAGCCGCGGUCAUACGUAGGGUCCAAGCGUUAUCCGGAAUUACUGGGCGUAAAGAGUUGCGUAGGUGGCUAGGUAAGUAGAUAGUGAAAGCGUGUGGCUCAACCAUACAUCCAUUAUCUAAACUGUUUAGCUAGAGGACGAGAGAGGUAGAUGGAAUUCCUAAUGUAGGGGUAAUAUCCGUAGAUAUUAGGAGGAACACCGAUGGCGUAAGCAGUCUACUGGCUCGUUCCUGACACUAAGGCACGAAAGCAUGGGGAGCAAACAGGAUUAGAUACCCCCGUAGUCC